UUUUCUUGCUCGAAACACCGACAGAAGCUUCUAGAUACUCUACUCUUGCUCUGCCUAGAUCGUUCACAACGUUGUCCGGUGUGUAAACUCUGAGCUGCAGAUCGAUGUUCAUGGAGAUGUGUCAUCAUCAUAUGUUUUGUCUAUAUGAAUGGAUACGUCCUAUACACUUACCGCUGGCGAGGACCAGUUUCCACGGCAAAGUGCAAAUGUCACAUUGGGCUCAGAGUAUCCAAGGCCAUCGGCUUACAUGUUCUGGUUCACCUGGAUGGCGUAAGAUGAAAUGCUCAAUGGCCAAAGCGUUCAAGACUAUGCCGCCCACGUUGAGCGAAGCCUGCCAAAGAAAUCGAGAGCGCCGUUAUGUUAUAGAAGUUUCUACAAGAUUUACCAUUUUCAUCACUCCGCGUUUGGAUCUAUGAAGUUACCUUGUUCAUCAAGGUAAGUAAUUUGUUGUGCGAUGAAGGUAACCCGUGCUCGAGAAAUGCCUGCAACAAAAAAUGUUUUGGAGGAUUAUUUUAAGCACCCAUAGGUUUAUAGUAUUCUCUAGAGAAAAAAGUUAUAUCUAUUUUGGAGAAUUUUUGCAGUACAUUCAUUACACAGGCGUUGUAGAUAUUGAUCCAGAAUGCAAGCUUCUGCUUGUAGGUCAAGAAGCUCAACUCAACCUCUGCUAGUUUCUCCAUCAGAACCCUGGAAAGCAUGAAAUGUUCAAACCUCUGUUAACAAAUGGUAAAGGCUUUGAAACCUCGUCAUCCGUCUGAAUUCAGAUCGGCUGGAUAGCUGUGAGGGGGAAUCAAAGUGAUAAAAAUGUGCAAAAGCAUCCUCAGUUUUGGACAAGUUACCUUAAUCGUGGGACAGCGGGCGAGCAGUAGUGGGUGAAACUGCUCACAUCAAGUGAGCUCUUAGUUAUGUGAAUGAAGUUAUUGUAAGGGCCAACAUCCCUAAUGACCCCGCUCGAGUCUGACAAAAUGCGCCUGUGGAAGUUGCAUUGAAGAAAUCGGAAGAAGCAUAAGCGAACGAGAACCUGGAGUGGGCCGAGGCUGAAUCUCUGGGAGCUCGUCGGUAGUAUUGGGACAUUGACCGAUGAUGCAGAUCGUGUCUGACAUGAUUUUGUCUGGUCAAGUUUCAGCUCCUGAAUUUGGCGGUCUAGACGAAGAAUCUCUGCUUCAACCGUUGCAAUUUCUGUGAUAAGCUCCUGAACCUGUCCUAUCAAUACCCAAAUUAAAGAUCACAACGCUUUCCUUUCACCAAUAUGGGUUUGGUGAAUCUAACGUUGAGAAAUCGGAAGUAGUAAGGUCUCGAUGUACUAGCCUGAGGCGGAAGAAGGGAAAAGGUGAGGCGUGGCUGUGAUAAGACGGUGCCAUUGACGGCAGCUCGCAAGGCUUUGUGGAUUGCUUGUUCAUGG
Long non-coding RNA from Tarenaya hassleriana, 1399 nucleotides. RefSeq lists it as uncharacterized. The transcript is spliced from 5 exons. The record is from RefSeq and is a predicted model, not a curated record. NCBI's taxonomy places the organism in Eukaryota, Viridiplantae, Streptophyta, Magnoliopsida, Brassicales, Cleomaceae.